GAUGAACGCUGGCGGCGUGCCUAAUACAUGCAAGUCGAGCGAACAGACGAGGAGCUUGCUCCUCUGACGUUAGCGGCGGACGGGUGAGUAACACGUGGAUAACCUACCUAUAAGACUGGGAUAACUUCGGGAAACCGUAGCUAAUACCGGAUAAUAUAUUGAACCGCAUGGUUCAAUAGUGAAAGACGGUUUUGCUGUCACUUAUAGAUGGAUCCGCGCCGCAUUAGCUAGUUGGUAAGGUAACGGCUUACCAAGGCAACGAUGCGUAGCCGACCUGAGAGGGUGAUCGGCCACACUGGAACUGAGACACGGUCCAGACUCCGACGGGAGGAAGCAGUAGGGAAUCUUCCGCAAUGGGCGAAAGCCUGACGGAGCAACGCCGCGUGAGUGAUGAAGGUCUUCGGAUCGUAAAACUCUGUUAUUAGGGAAGAACAAAUGUGUAAGUAACUAUGCACGUCUUGACGGUACCUAAUCAGAAAGCCACGGCUAACUACGUG
This 497-nucleotide ribosomal RNA is filed under the name uncultured bacterium. RNAcentral's name for it is "partial 16S ribosomal RNA". It matches the Rfam family "Bacterial small subunit ribosomal RNA", at positions 28 to 507 of the family's 1533-position model. The record is from RNAcentral.